This 427-nucleotide ribosomal RNA is filed under the name uncultured bacterium. Its description in RNAcentral is "bacterial SSU rRNA". It matches the Rfam family "Bacterial small subunit ribosomal RNA", at positions 355 to 774 of the family's 1533-position model. The record is from RNAcentral.
UGGGGAAUUUUGGACAAUGGGCGCAAGCCUGAUCCAGCCAUGCCGCGUGCAGGAUGAAGGCCUUCGGGUUGUAAACUGCUUUUGUACGGAACGAAAAGACUCUGGUUAAUACCUGGGGUCCAUGACGGUACCGUAAGAAUAAGCACCGGCUAACUACGUGCCAGCAGCCGCGGUAAUACGUAGGGUGCGAGCGUUAAUCGGAAUUACUGGGCGUAAAGCGUGCGCAGGCGGUUAUAUAAGACAGGUGUGAAAUCCCCGGGCUCAACCUGGGACCUGCAUUCGUGACUGUAUAGCUAGAGUACGGUAGAGGGGGAUGGAAUUCCGCGUGUAGCAGUGAAAUGCGUAGAUAUGCGGAGGAACACCGAUGGCGAAGGCAAUCCCCUGGACCUGUACUGACGCUCAUGCACGAAAGCGUGGGGAGCAAACA